RNAcentral lists this long non-coding RNA (306 nucleotides) under Elaeis guineensis (African oil palm). RNAcentral describes it as "long non-coding RNA (EGUI_LNC021563)". Lineage: Eukaryota; Viridiplantae; Streptophyta; Magnoliopsida; Arecales; Arecaceae. The record is from RNAcentral.
CAUCAGAAAGACACAACUAAAACAACAUAUUAUGAAUGAUAAUUCUGACAGCUAGAUGAGCACCAAGCAUAUGGCACCUCCAAUGAUCAUCUAAAUCAUUGAACUCAUUAUCACCCAACUUAAUGAGAGGUUAUGGUUUAGUUAUUACCAUAACUAUUUCAUUUUAGGGACCUAACAAAGUUAGAGGAUUUAAUUAGUUGAAUCAAGAGAUGAGAUGAGACUUGAUCAGUUAAUCUUAAUCCUCCCAUUGACUUCACCAAGUUAGAUUUAAGAAGAUCAGGCAUAAGCUGGUCCAGCCAACCAGUC